Molecule: ribosomal RNA, 418 nt
Filed under: uncultured soil bacterium
Lineage: Bacteria
Description: bacterial SSU rRNA
Rfam family: Bacterial small subunit ribosomal RNA
Source: RNAcentral
AGAACGAACGCUGGCGGCAUGCCUAAUACAUGCAAGUCGAACGAGACCUUCGGGUCUAGUGGCGCACGGGUGCGUAACGCGUGGGAAUCUGCCCUUGGGUUCGGAAUAACAGUUGGAAACGACUGCUAAUACCGGAUGAUGACGUAAGUCCAAAGAUUUAUCGCCCAGGGAUGAGCCCGCGUAGGAUUAGCUAGUUGGUGGGGUAAAGGCCUACCAAGGCGACGAUCCUUAGCUGGUCUGAGAGGAUGAUCAGCCACACUGGAACUGAGACACGGUCCAGACUCCUACGGGAGGCAGCAGUGGGGAAUAUUGGACAAUGGGCGAAAGCCUGAUCCAGCCAUGCCGCGUGUGUGAAGAAGGUCUUCGGAUUGUAAAGCUACUUUAAGUGGGAGGUAAGGGUUGUAACUUAAUACGUUGC